Molecule: ribosomal RNA, 462 nt
Filed under: uncultured bacterium
Lineage: Bacteria
Description: bacterial SSU rRNA
Rfam family: Bacterial small subunit ribosomal RNA
Source: RNAcentral
CAUGCUAGACGAGUUUGAUCAUGGUUCAGAACGAACGCUGGCGGCAGGCCUAACACAUGCAAGUCGAGCGAGGACUUCGGUCCUAGCGGCGGACGGGUGAGUAACGCGUGGGAACGUGCCCUUUGGUACGGAAUAGCCCCGGGAAACUGGGAGUAAUACCGUAUGGUGUCUUCGGACUAAAGAUUUAUCGCCAAAGGAUCGGCCCGCGUUGGAUUAGGUAGUUGGUGGGGUAAUGGCCUACCAAGCCGACGAUCCAUAGCUGGUUUGAGAGGAUGAUCAGCCACACUGGGACUGAGACACGGCCCAGACUCCUACGGGAGGCAGCAGUGGGGAAUCUUAGACAAUGGGGGCAACCCUGAUCUAGCCAUGCCGCGUGAGUGACGAAGGCCUUAGGGUUGUAAAGCUCUUUUGGCGGGGACGAUAAUGACGGUACCCGCAGAAUAAGCCCCGGCUAACUUCGUG